CCAUGCAUGUCUCAGUAUAAGCUUCUAUACGGCGAAACUGCGAAUGGCUCAUUAAAACAGUUAUAGUUUAUUUGGUGGUCAACUCUUACAUGGAUAACCGUGGUAAUUCUAGAGCUAAUACAUGCGCCCAAACCCAACUUCUUGGAAGGGUUGUGUUUAUUAGAUACAGAACCAACCCAGGCUCCGCCUGGCCUUGAGGUGAUUCACAAUAACCGAACGAAUCGCAUAGCUGCCGCUGGCGAUAGACCAUUCAAGUUUCUGACCUAUCAGCUAUCGUCGGUAGGGUAUUGGCCUACCGUGGCAAUGACGGGUAACGGAGAAUUAGGGUUCGAUUCCGGAGAGGGAGCCUGAGAAACGGCUACCACAUCUAAGGAAGGCAGCAGGCGCGCAAAUUACCCAAUCCUGACGCAGGGAGGUAGUGACAAGAAAUAACAAUACAGGGCAUAUCUGUCUUGUAAUUGGAAUGAGUAAACUUUAAAUCACUUUACGAGUAUCAAUUGGA
This 502-nucleotide ribosomal RNA is filed under the name uncultured eukaryote. Its description in RNAcentral is "SSU rRNA". It matches the Rfam family "Eukaryotic small subunit ribosomal RNA", at positions 49 to 552 of the family's 1831-position model. The record is from RNAcentral.